GGGGGCCACGCUGCACGCAGCACGCCGCGUGCGGGACGACGGCCUUCGUGGUUGUAUACUGCUUUUCUGUGGGAAGAGAACGGACGGUACCACAGGAAGAAGCCCCGGCUAACUACGUGCCAGCAGCCGCGGUAAUACGUAGGGGGCGAGCGUUGUCCUGAGUGACUGGGCGUAAAGCGCACGCAGGCGGUCGGGCAAGUUUGGAGGUGACAGUGGUCAGCUUAACUGACCAACUGCAUCUAAUACUGCGCCGACUUGAGGGGCAGAGAGGGACACGGAACUCCAGGUGUAGUGGUGAAAUGCGUAGAUAUCAGGAAGAACAGCAAAGGGCAAUGUAUGGGGUGGGAGGUGAUGCUCAGGUACUAAAACUAGAGGAGCGAACAGGAUAAGAUACCCCGGUAGUCCUAGCCAUCAACGAUGACCACUAGAUGUGCGGAGUUUUGACCC
RNAcentral lists this ribosomal RNA (447 nucleotides) under uncultured bacterium. RNAcentral describes it as "bacterial SSU rRNA". It matches the Rfam family "Bacterial small subunit ribosomal RNA", at positions 373 to 838 of the family's 1533-position model. The record is from RNAcentral.